This 257-nucleotide ribosomal RNA is filed under the name Flavobacterium sp. ISO200_OTU5152. RNAcentral's name for it is "partial 16S ribosomal RNA". It matches the Rfam family "Bacterial small subunit ribosomal RNA", at positions 29 to 289 of the family's 1533-position model. Lineage: Bacteria; Pseudomonadati; Bacteroidota; Flavobacteriia; Flavobacteriales; Flavobacteriaceae. The record is from RNAcentral.
AUGAACGCUAGCGGCAGGCUUAACACAUGCAAGUCGAGGGGUAUACUUCUUCGGAAGCAGAGACCGGCGCACGGGUGCGUAACGCGUAUGCAAUCUACCUUUUACAGAGGGAUAGCCCAGAGAAAUUUGGAUUAAUACCUCAUAGUAUUAUGAAAUGGCAUCAUUUUAUAAUUAAAGUCACAACGGUAAAAGAUGAGCAUGCGUCCCAUUAGCUAGUUGGUAAGGUAACGGCUUACCAAGGCUACGAUGGGUAGGGG